This 67-nucleotide transfer RNA is filed under the name Doratura stylata. Its description in RNAcentral is "tRNA-Phe". Lineage: Eukaryota; Metazoa; Arthropoda; Insecta; Hemiptera; Cicadellidae. The record is from RNAcentral.
GUUUUUGUAGCUUAUCUUUAAGAGCAUUUCAGUGAAGUUGAAAAGGAAACAUAGUUGUUCAAAAACA